UAAAAAAAGGUAAGCUACUAAGAGCGAAUGGUGGAUGCCUUGACUGGUAAAGGCGAUGAAGGACGUACUAGACUGCGAUAAGCUACGGGGAGCUGUCAAGAAGCUUUGAUCCGUAGAUUUCCGAAUGGGGCAACCCAAUGUAUAGAGAUAUACAUUACCUAUAUAGGAGCGAACGAGGGGAAUUGAAACAUCUUAGUACCCUCAGGAAAAGAAAUCAAUAGAGAUUGCGUCAGUAGCGGCGAGCGAAAGCGCAAGAGGGCAAACCCAGUGCUUGCACUGGGGGUUGUAGGACUGCAAUGUGCAAGAGCUGAGUUUAGCAGAACAUUCUGGAAAGUAUAGCCAUAGAGGGUGAUAGUCCCGUAUGCGAAAAACAAAGCUUAGCUAGCAGUAUCCUGAGUAGGGCGGGACACGAGGAAUCCUGUCUGAAUCCGGGUCGACCACGAUCCAACCCUAAAUACUAAUACCAGAUCGAUAGUGCACAAGUACCGUGAGGGAAAGGUGAAAAGAACUGAGGUGAUCAGAGUGAAAUAGAACCUGAAACCAUUUGCUUACAAUCAUUCAGAGCACUAUGUAGCAAUACAGUGUGAUGGACUGCCUUUGCAUAAUGAGCCUGCGAGUUGUGGUGUCUGGCAAGGUUAAGCAAACGCGAAGCCGUAGCGAAAGCGAGUCUGAAUAGGGCGCUUAGUCAGAUGCUGCAGACCCGAAACGAAGUGAUCUAUCCAUGAGCAAGUUGAAGCUAGUGUAAGAACUAGUGGAGGACUGAACCCAUAGGCGUUGAAAAGCCCCGGGAUGACUUGUGGAUAGGGGUGAAAGGCCAAUCAAACUUCGUGAUAGCUGGUUCUCUCCGAAAUAUAUUUAGGUAUAGCGUUGUGUCGUAAUAUAAGGGGGUAGAGCACUGAAUGGGCUAGGGCAUACACCAAUGUACCAAACCCUAUCAAACUCCGAAUACCUUAUAUGUAAUCACAGCAGUCAGGCGGCGAGUGAUAAAAUCCGUCGUCAAGAGGGAAACAACCCAGACUACCAGCUAAGGUCCCUAAAUCUUACUUAAGUGGAAAACGAUGUGAAGUUACUUAAACAACCAGGAGGUUGGCUUAGAAGCAGCCAUCCUUUAAAGAAAGCGUAAUAGCUCACUGGUCUAGUGAUUUUGCGCGGAAAAUAUAACGGGGCUAAAGUAAGUACCGAAGCUGUAGACUUAGUUUACUAAGUGGUAGGAGAGCGUUCUAUUUGCGUCGAAGGUAUACCGGUAAGGAGUGCUGGAGCGAAUAGAAGUGAGCAUGCAGGCAUGAGUAGCGAUAAUUAAUGUGAGAAUCAUUAACGCCGUAAACCCAAGGUUUCCUACGCGAUGCUCGUCAUCGUAGGGUUAGUCGGGUCCUAAGUCGAGUCCGAAAGGGGUAGACGAUGGCAAAUUGGUUAAUAUUCCAAUACCAACAUUAGUGUGCGAUGGAAGGACGCUUAGGGCUAAGGGGGCUAGCGGAUGGAAGUGCUAGUCUAAGGUCGUAGGAGGUUAUACAGGCAAAUCCGUAUAACAAUACUCCGAGAACUGAAAGGCUUUUUGAAGUCUUCGGAUGGAUAGAAGAACCCCUGAUGCCGUCGAGCCAAGAAAAGUUUCUAAGUUUAGCUAAUGUUGCCCGUACCGUAAACCGACACAGGUGGGUGGGAUGAGUAUUCUAAGGCGCGUGGAAGAACUCUCUUUAAGGAACUCUGCAAAAUAGCACCGUAUCUUCGGUAUAAGGUGUGGUUAGCUUUGUAUUAGGAUUUACUCUGAAAGCAAGGAAACUUACAACAAAGAGUCCCUCCCGACUGUUUACCAAAAACACAGCACUCUGCUAACUCGUAAGAGGAUGUAUAGGGUGUGACGCCUGCCCGGUGCUCGAAGGUUAAUUGAUGGGGUUAGCAUUAGCGAAGCUCUUGAUCGAAGCCCGAGUAAACGGCGGCCGUAACUAUAACGGUCCUAAGGUAGCGAAAUUCCUUGUCGGUUAAAUACCGACCUGCAUGAAUGGCGUAACGAGAUGGGAGCUGUCUCAAAGAGGGAUCCAGUGAAAUUGUAGUGGAGGUGAAAAUUCCUCCUACCCGCGGCAAGACGGAAAGACCCCGUGGACCUUUACUACAGCUUGACACUGCUACUUGGAUAAGAAUGUGCAGGAUAGGUGGGAGGCUUUGAGUAUAUGACGCCAGUUGUAUAUGAGCCAUUGUUGAGAUACCACUCUUUCUUAUUUGGGUAGCUAACCAGCUUGAGUUAUCCUCAAGUGGGACAAUGUCUGGUGGGUAGUUUGACUGGGGCGGUCGCCUCCCAAAUAAUAACGGAGGCUUACAAAGGUUGGCUCAGAACGGUUGGAAAUCGUUCGUAGAGUAUAAAGGUAUAAGCCAGCUUAACUGCAAGACAUACAAGUCAAGCAGAGACGAAAGUCGGUCUUAGUGAUCCGGUGGUUCUGUGUGGAAGGGCCAUCGCUCAAAGGAUAAAAGGUACCCCGGGGAUAACAGGCUGAUCUCCCCCAAGAGCUCACAUCGACGGGGAGGUUUGGCACCUCGAUGUCGGCUCAUCGCAUCCUGGGGCUGGAGCAGGUCCCAAGGGUAUGGCUGUUCGCCAUUUAAAGCGGUACGCGAGCUGGGUUCAGAACGUCGUGAGACAGUUCGGUCCCUAUCUGCCGUGGGCGUAAGAAGAUUGAAGAGAUUUGACCCUAGUACGAGAGGACCGGGUUGAACAAACCACUGGUGUAGCUGUUGUUCUGCCAAGAGCAUCGCAGCGUAGCUAAGUUUGGAAAGGAUAAACGCUGAAAGCAUCUAAGCGUGAAGCCAACUCUAAGAUGAAUCUUCUCUAAGCUCUCUAGAAGACUACUAGUUUGAUAGGCUGGGUGUGUAAUGGAUGAAAGUCCUUUAGCUGACCAGUACUAAUAGAGCGUUUGGCUUAUCUUUAAUAAAGCAU
This 2923-nucleotide ribosomal RNA is filed under the name Campylobacter jejuni. RNAcentral's name for it is "bacterial LSU rRNA". It matches the Rfam family "Bacterial large subunit ribosomal RNA". Lineage: Bacteria; Pseudomonadati; Campylobacterota; Epsilonproteobacteria; Campylobacterales; Campylobacteraceae. The record is from RNAcentral.